This 216-nucleotide long non-coding RNA is filed under the name Elaeis guineensis (African oil palm). Its description in RNAcentral is "long non-coding RNA (EGUI_LNC000922)". The record is from RNAcentral. Lineage: Eukaryota; Viridiplantae; Streptophyta; Magnoliopsida; Arecales; Arecaceae.
UAUGUAAAUAAUAUAAUCUUAAUAUACAUGUGAAUAAUUUUGAAAAGAUGAUGGAUAUAUAUUAAGAUUAUAUUGAGUCAGAUUCAGGACGAAAACGUACUAUAACGUACUAUUAUCCGUAUCCGAUCUGAAUCCGUUUCAAAUAUUUUUUUUAGAACUCAUACUCGUCUUGAAUUUUAAUCAGAUGGAAUAAAAUCUACUAUAUUUGGAUUGGAC